This 349-nucleotide ribosomal RNA is filed under the name Geobacillus stearothermophilus. RNAcentral describes it as "bacterial SSU rRNA". It matches the Rfam family "Bacterial small subunit ribosomal RNA", at positions 546 to 894 of the family's 1533-position model. The record is from RNAcentral. Lineage: Bacteria; Bacillati; Bacillota; Bacilli; Caryophanales; Anoxybacillaceae.
CGGAAUUAUUGGGCGUAAGCGCGCGCAGGUGGUUUCUUAAGUCUGAUGUGAAAGCCCACGGCUCAACCGUGGAGGGUCAUUGGAAACUGGGAGACUUGAGUGCAGAAGAGGAAAGUGGAAUUCCAUGUGUAGCGGUGAAAUGCGUAGAGAUAUGGAGGAACACCAGUGGCGAAGGCGACUUUCUGGUCUGUAACUGACACUGAGGCGCGAAAGCGUGGGGAGCAAACAGGAUUAGAUACCCUGGUAGUCCACGCCGUAAACGAUGAGUGCUAAGUGUUAGAGGGUUUCCCCCCUUUAGUGCUGAAGUUAACGCAUUAAGCACUCCGCCUGGUGAGUACGGCCGCAAGGC